UAGCAUCCUUAACAGAGAGGCUGUUCUGUCUGCUGAAUGACCUUUCCGAACCUGCAGAAAUGACCCCAAAAUCACAGCAGCAGUCGGAACACACUGUUACCAUGGAAACGUCAUCAAACCCAAAAGAGAAAGCAGACCCAGGAAGCAGGACAUGGCCGGGUGUCCCAGUCCUGUUGUCUCUGAGCGACACAGAAUCAACAACUACAGCAUCGGUCACCACAACCAGGUGCACCAUGGGACAUGUGGCUCUUAUAGAGCAGAGGGAUGCCGUGGUGAAGCGGUUUGAGCAGCUGUACAGGUCGGAAUGGUCUCGGUCAGAGAGCGACAAACGAAAACAGCUGAGAGAAACAGAGACGUGGCACCAUCACUGGACACAACAGAUGCACACACUGGCGCACAUCAGCACCGGGACGGCAGAGACUUCCUAAACAUCAAACCAGUGACAUACAGUCUGUCCACAGGAUAUUGACACUGCCCAGUCAACCAGCCAAUCAGGAACUAGUGUUCCUCCAACUUCUGGGAAGAGAGGGUGUCAAAGCUUCAGUCCAUGAUUGGGAUGGUCCUUUCCUCUGGCAACCACGGCCUC
This is a long non-coding RNA of Cynoglossus semilaevis (tongue sole), 586 nucleotides long. RefSeq lists it as uncharacterized. Lineage: Eukaryota; Metazoa; Chordata; Actinopteri; Pleuronectiformes; Cynoglossidae. The record is from RefSeq and is a predicted model, not a curated record. The transcript is spliced from 5 exons.